This 274-nucleotide ribosomal RNA is filed under the name uncultured bacterium. Its description in RNAcentral is "partial 16S ribosomal RNA". It matches the Rfam family "Bacterial small subunit ribosomal RNA", at positions 523 to 796 of the family's 1533-position model. The record is from RNAcentral.
AUACGGAGGGUGCAAGCAUUAAUCGGAAUUAUUGGGCGUAAAGGGCGCGUAGGCGGAACUGUAAGUCAGAUGUGAAAUACCGAAGCUUAACUUCGGUGCUGCAUUUGAAACUACAGAUCUGGAGGAUAGACGGAGAAAACGGAAUUCCACAUGUAGCGGUGAAAUGCGUGGAUAUGUGGAAGAACACCUGUGGCGAAAGCGGUUUUCUAGUUUAUUCCUGACGCUGAGGCGCGAGAGCAAGGGGAGCAAACAGCAUUAGAAACCCCAGUAGUCC